AUUUUAUAAAGAAUGAGGUGAGAGACUGGCUCGAUGACCCUCUGGCAACCCACUAUAAGUAUUGAUGUAUUUCAAUAUUGGAAAAUCGGUGCCAAUUCCAGAUUUGAAAGCAAUAGUGCAUUCAAAAAAUAUAAAAG
RNAcentral lists this non-coding RNA (137 nucleotides) under Psychroflexus salarius. RNAcentral describes it as "SAM-I sequence". It matches the Rfam family "SAM riboswitch aptamer (S box leader)". Rfam says of the family: The SAM riboswitch is found upstream of a number of genes which code for proteins involved in methionine or cysteine biosynthesis in Gram-positive bacteria. The SAM riboswitch acts at the level of transcription termination control. The predicted structure consists of a complex stem-loop region followed by a single stem loop terminator region. Lineage: Bacteria; Pseudomonadati; Bacteroidota; Flavobacteriia; Flavobacteriales; Flavobacteriaceae. The record is from Rfam by way of RNAcentral.